CCUACGGGUGGCUGCAGUGGGGAAUAUUGGACAAUGGGCGAAAGCCUGAUCCAGCCAUGCCGCGUGUGUGAAGAAGGCCUUCGGGUUGUAAAGCACUUUCAGUGGGGAAGAAAGCCUUGGGGCUAAUACCCUCGAGGAAGGACAUCACCCACAGAAGAAGCACCGGCUAACUCCGUGCCAGCAGCCGCGGUAAUACGGAGGGUGCGAGCGUUAAUCGGAAUUACUGGGCGUAAAGCGCGCGUAGGCGGUCUGAUAAGCCGGUUGUGAAAGCCCCGGGCUCAACCUGGGAACGGCAUCCGGAACUGUCAGGCUAGAGGGCAGGAGAGGAAGGUAGAAUUCCCGGUGGAGCGGUGAAAUGCGUAGAGAUCGGGAGGAAUACCAGUGGCGAAGGCGGCCUUCUGGACUGACACUGACGCUGAGGUGCGAAAGCGUGGGUAGCAAACAGGAUUAGAUACCCCGGUAGUC
This 465-nucleotide ribosomal RNA is filed under the name Vreelandella stevensii. RNAcentral describes it as "partial 16S ribosomal RNA". It matches the Rfam family "Bacterial small subunit ribosomal RNA", at positions 338 to 795 of the family's 1533-position model. Lineage: Bacteria; Pseudomonadati; Pseudomonadota; Gammaproteobacteria; Oceanospirillales; Halomonadaceae. The record is from RNAcentral.